This 74-nucleotide small RNA is filed under the name Sinorhizobium meliloti 2011. RNAcentral's name for it is "putative ncRNA". The record is from RNAcentral. Lineage: Bacteria; Pseudomonadati; Pseudomonadota; Alphaproteobacteria; Hyphomicrobiales; Rhizobiaceae.
GCAUGGCGGAUGGUUCUCGAAAUCCGGGUGAGGAAAGCCGGCCGCGAGGACGCGACGAGCUUCCAUGAAAGGAC